GAAAUGCGAUAAGUAAUGUGAAUUGCAGAAUUCAGUGAAUCAUCGAAUCUUUGAACGCACAUUGCGCCCGCCAGUAUUCUGGCGGGCAUGCCUGUUCGAGCGUCAUUACAACCCUCAGGCCCCCGGGCCUGGCGUUGGGGAUCGGCGGAAGCCCCCUGCGGGCACAACGCCGUCCCCCAAAUACAGUGGCGGUCCCGCCGCAGCUUCCAUUGCGUAGUAGCUAACACCUCGCAACUGGAGAGCGGCGCGGCCACCCCGUAAAACACCCAACUUCUGAAUGUUGACCUCGAAUCAGGUAGGAAUACCCGCUGAACUUAAGC
RNAcentral lists this unclassified non-coding RNA (320 nucleotides) under plant metagenome. RNAcentral's name for it is "partial contains 5.8S ribosomal RNA, internal transcribed spacer 2, and large subunit ribosomal RNA". The stretch from base 1 to 105 matches the Rfam family "5.8S ribosomal RNA", at positions 50 to 154 of the family's 154-position model. The record is from RNAcentral.